CUAAUAAGCAUGUUUAACAAAUAAAUUUCUUUUUUUUUUUUAAUUUUACUUUUUUUUUUUUAACACCAGGGGAAAGCGUGAAUGCAGUCCCCCACUACCACAAACAUUGGGGAAAUCGCAGGGGUCAGCACAUCCGGAAUGCAAUAGAUAACCUCGCUCUGGGAAAACUACCUUUGUGAUCAUGGUAUCUCCUCUGCCAGGUCUUAAGAUUUAUAUUGAGAAGACAGUGGCAAAGCACAGAGCAUAUAAUAAUUUUGAAACUGGCGACAAGGAAGGGUAAUGAAGUGAAAUAAUAGAACCAAGUAAGAGAAACCACAAGAUCAAAAAGAAGGGACGAACAGUAGGUAAGUAAUUCUGAAGAAAC
This 364-nucleotide long non-coding RNA is filed under the name Callithrix jacchus (white-tufted-ear marmoset). RNAcentral describes it as "lncRNA (ENSCJAG00000087202.1)". The record is from RNAcentral. Lineage: Eukaryota; Metazoa; Chordata; Mammalia; Primates; Cebidae.